AAUUUUGGCUUAGUGGCGAACGGGUGAGUAACGCGUGAGCGAACCUGCCUCGUUUUGAAGGGGGAUAACAACCGGAAACGGUUGCUAAUACCGCAUAAGACCACACUGUCGCAUGGCAGAGAGGUCAAAGGAGCAAUCCGCAGAGAGAGGGGCUCGCGUCCCAUUAGGUAGACGGCGGGGUAACGGCCCACCGUGCCGACGAUGGGUAGCCGAGCUGAGAGGCUGAUCGGCCACACUGGAACUGAGACACGGUCCAGACUCCGUACGGGAGGCAGCAGUGGGGGAAUAUUGGGCAAUGGGCGAAAGCCUGACCCAGCAACGCCGCGUGAGGGAAGAAGGUCUUCGGAUUGUAAACCUCUGUCCUUGGUGACGAAGGAAGUGACGGUAGCCAAGGAGGAAGCCCCGGCUAACUACGUGCCAGCAGCCGC
RNAcentral lists this ribosomal RNA (428 nucleotides) under uncultured bacterium. RNAcentral's name for it is "bacterial SSU rRNA". It matches the Rfam family "Bacterial small subunit ribosomal RNA", at positions 83 to 518 of the family's 1533-position model. The record is from RNAcentral.